GACGAACGCUGGCGGCGUGCCUAAUACAUGCAAGUUGAGCGCUGAAGGUUGGUACUUGUACCGACUGGAUGAGCAGCGAACGGGUGAGUAACGCGUGGGGAAUCUGCCUUUGAGCGGGGGACAACAUUUGGAAACGAAUGCUAAUACCGCAUAAAAACUUUAAACACAAGUUUUAAGUGUGAAAGAUGCAAUUGCAUCACUCAAAGAUGAUCCCGCGUUGUAUUAGCUAGUUGGUGAGGUAAAGGCUCACCAAGGCGAUGAUACAUAGCCGACCUGAGAGGGUGUUCGGCCAACUUGGGACUGAGACACGGCCCAAACUCCUACGGGAGGCAGCAGUAGGGAAUCUUCGGCAAUGGACGAAAGUCUGACCGAGCAACGCCGCGUGAGUGAAGAAGGUUUUCGGAUCGUAAAACUCUGUUGGUAGAGAAGAACGUUGGUGAGAGUGGAAAGCUCAUCAAGUGACGGUAACUACCCAGAAAGGGACGGCUAACUACGUG
This 497-nucleotide ribosomal RNA is filed under the name uncultured bacterium. RNAcentral's name for it is "partial 16S ribosomal RNA". It matches the Rfam family "Bacterial small subunit ribosomal RNA", at positions 28 to 507 of the family's 1533-position model. The record is from RNAcentral.